This 253-nucleotide ribosomal RNA is filed under the name uncultured bacterium. RNAcentral's name for it is "partial 16S ribosomal RNA". It matches the Rfam family "Bacterial small subunit ribosomal RNA", at positions 524 to 776 of the family's 1533-position model. The record is from RNAcentral.
UACGUAGGGGGCAAGCGUUGUCCGGAAUCAUUGGGCGUAAAGCGCGCGUAGGCGGCCCGGUAAGUCCGCUGUAAAAGUCCAGGGCUCAACCCUGGAAAGCCGGUGGAUACUGUCGGGCUAGAGUCCGGAAGAGGCGAGUGGAAUUCCUGGUGUAGCGGUGGAAUGCGCAGAUAUCUGGAGGAACACCGGUGGCGAAGGCGGCAUCCUGGACCGGCAUUGACGCUGAGGAGCGAAAGCCAGGGGAGCAAACGGG